RNAcentral lists this ribosomal RNA (1395 nucleotides) under uncultured bacterium. Its description in RNAcentral is "16S ribosomal RNA". It matches the Rfam family "Bacterial small subunit ribosomal RNA". The record is from RNAcentral.
UUCGCCCUUAGAGUUUGAUCCUGGCUCAGGACGAACGCUGGCGGCGUGCCUAACACAUGCAAGUCGAGCGGAGGUAUAUACGAAGAAGUUUUCGGACGGAAUUGUAUAUACUUUAGCGGCGGACGGGUGAGUAACGCGUGAGCAACCUGCCUUUCACAGGGGGAUAAGGCGGCGAAAGCCGCUCUAAUACCGCAUGAGACCACAGUGGUGAUGCUACAGGGGUCAAAGGAGCAAUCCGGUGAAAGAUGGGCUCGCGUCCGAUUAGGUAGUUGGUGGGGUAAUGGCCCACCAAGCCCGUGAUCGGUAGCCGGCCUGAGAGGGUGAACGGCCACAUUGGAACUGAGACACGGUCCAAACCCCUACGGGAGGCUGCAGUGGGGAAUAUUGGGCAAUGGGGGGAACCCUGACCCAGCAACGCCGCGUGAGGGAAGAAGGUUUUCGGAUUGUAAACCUCUGUUCUUGGGGAAGAGUGAAAGACGGUACCCAAGGAGGAAGCCCCGGCUAACUACGUGCCAGCAGCCGCGGUAAUACGUAGGGGCGAGCGUUGUCCGGAAUGAUUGGGCGUAAAGGGCGCGUAGGCGGCUUUGCAAGUCAGUAGUGGAAGUCCAUUUUUCAAGGAUGGAAGUGCUACAGAAACUGCGGAGCUUGAGUGCAGGAGAGGUUAUCGGAAUUCCCGGUGUAGCGGUGAAAUGCGUAGAGAUCGGGAGGAACACCAGUGGCGAAGGCGGGUAACUGGACUGCAACUGACGCUGAGGCGCGAAAGUGUGGGGAGCAAACAGGAUUAGAUACCCUGGUAGUCCACACUGUAAACGAUGAAUGCUAGGUGUAGGAGGUAUCGACCCCCUCUGUGCCGCAGUAAACACAAUAAGUAUCCCGCCUGGGGAGUACGGUCGCAAGGCUGAAACUCAAAGGAAUUGACGGGGGCCCGCACAAGCGGUGGAGCAUGUGGUUUAAUUCGAUGCAACGCGAAGAACCUUACCAGGUCUUGACAUCCAAAGAAUCCUGAUGAAAGUCGGGAGUGCCUUAGGGAGCUUUGAGACAGGUGGUGCAUGGUUGUCGUCAGCUCGUGUCGUGAGAUGUUGGGUUAAGUCCCGCAACGAGCGCAACCCCCGCUAUUAGUUGCUAACAUUCAGAUGAGCACUCUAAUGGGACUGCCCGUGACAAGCGGGAGGAAGGUGGGGAGGACGUCAAAUCAUCAUGCCCUCUAUGAUCUGGGCUACACACGUGCUACAAUGGAUGGUACAGAGAGCAGCGAGACAGUGAUGUGGAGCGAAUCUCAAAAAGCCAUUCUCAGUUCGGAUUGCAGGCUGCAACUCGCCUGCAUGAAGUCGGAAUCGCUAGUAAUCGCGGAUCAGCAUGUCGCGGUGAAUAAGGUCCCGGGCCUUGCACUCACCG